GGCGGCGUGCCUAAUACAUGCAAGUCGAGCGGACAGAUGGGAGCUUGCUCCCUGAUGUUAGCGGCGGACGGGUGAGUAACACGUGGGUAACCUGCCUGUAAGACUGGGAUAACUCCGGGAAACCGGGGCUAAUACCGGAUGGUUGUUUGAACCGCAUGGUUCAGACAUAAAAGGUGGCUUCGGCUACCACUUACAGAUGGACCCGCGGCGCAUUAGCUAGUUGGUGAGGUAACGGCUCACCAAGGCGACGAUGCGUAGCCGACCUGAGAGGGUGAUCGGCCACACUGGGACUGAGACACGGCCCAGACUCCUACGGGAGGCAGCAGUAGGGAAUCUUCCGCAAUGGACGAAAGUCUGACGGAGCAACGCCGCGUGAGUGAUGAAGGUUUUCGGAUCGUAAAGCUCUGUUGUUAGGGAAGAACAAGUGCCGUUCAAAUAGGGCGGCACCUUGACGGUACCUAACCAGAAAGCCACGGCUAACUACGUGCCAGCAGCCGCGGUAAUACGUAGGUGGCAAGCGUUGUCCGGAAUUAUUGGGCGUAAAGGGCUCGCAGGCGGUUUCUUAAGUCUGAUGUGAAAGCCCCCGGCUCAACCGGGGAGGGUCAUUGGAAACUGGGGAACUUGAGU
This 627-nucleotide ribosomal RNA is filed under the name Bacillus sp. 2/117. Its description in RNAcentral is "bacterial SSU rRNA". It matches the Rfam family "Bacterial small subunit ribosomal RNA", at positions 38 to 647 of the family's 1533-position model. RNAcentral also lists the same sequence under 1 other name. The record is from RNAcentral. Lineage: Bacteria; Bacillati; Bacillota; Bacilli; Caryophanales; Bacillaceae.